CUGGUUGAUCCUGCCAGUAGUGAUAUGCUUGUUUCAAAGAUUAAGCCAUGCAUGUCUAAGUAUAAGCGAACUUAUACAGUGAAACUGCGGAUGCUCAUUAAAACAGUUUGAAUUUAUUUGAUGAAUGUAUGAGAAUACUACUUGGAUAACCGUAGUAAUUCUAGAGCUAAUACAUGCAACGACGCCCGACCGUUUCACUACGGAAGGGCUGUAUUUAUUGGAUACCAAAACCAUCCUUCCCUCGGGAAGUUUUGUUUGAUGAUUCACAAUAACUGAUCGGAUCGCCACUGUGGUGGCGACAGGUCAUUCAACAUUCUGCCCUAUCAGCUUUCGAUGGUUGUGUAGUGGACAACCAUGGCCAUAACGGGUAACGGAGAAUCAGGGUUCGAUUCCGGAGAAGGAGCUUGAGAAUUGGCUACUACAUCUAAGGAAGGCAGCAGGCGCGCAAAUUACCCAAUCCCGAUUCGGGGAGGUAGUGACAAAAAAUAACAAUACCGGGCCUUUUUGGGCUUGGUAAUUGGAAUGAGGGAGAGUUAAACGGACCAUCGAGUAUCCAUUGGAGGGCAAGUCUGGUGCCAGCAGCUGCGGUAAUACCAGCUCCAAUAGCGUAUAUUAAAGUUGUUGCAGUUAAAAAGCUCGUAGUUGGACUUGUGUGCGCUGUCCGCGGGUGGCCUGCGCCCAAAAGGGCGUUUCGGUUCGGCCCCGGUGGCGCCUUGAAAUCUGCAGCUGGGGGGACGUUGGCCUUAACUGGUCGGCGACCGCACGCCGGCUGCUCGGUUACUGUGAGAAAAUUAGAGUGUUCAAGGCAGGCAUUGGGUGCAAUUGAAUACAUUAGCAUGGAAUAAUAAAAUAUGGCUCCUGCCGUAUUUUGUUGGUUUUGACUGGUGGGAGUAAUGAUUGAUAGGGACGGUUGGGGGUGCUAGUAUUGAGCGGCCAGAGGUGAAAUUCAUGGAUUCGCUCAAGACUAACUUAUGCGAAAGCAUUCACCAAGGACGUCCUCUUUAAUCAAGAACGAAAGUUGGGGGAUCGAAGACGAUCAGAUACCGUCGUAGUCUCAACCAUAAACUAUGUCGACUUGGGAUCGGCGGUAGUUUUUUCAUUAAGACACUGUCGGGACCACGGGAGAAAUCAAAGUGUCUGGACUCUGGGGGAAGUAUGGUCGCAAGGCUGAAACUUGAAGGAAUUGACGGAAGGGCACCACCAGGAGUGGAGCCUGCGG
Molecule: ribosomal RNA, 1219 nt
Filed under: metagenome
Description: SSU rRNA
Rfam family: Eukaryotic small subunit ribosomal RNA
Source: RNAcentral